UACGUAGGGGGCGAGCGUUAUCCGGAUUUACUGGGUGUAAAGGGAGCGUAGACGGUUAAUCAAGUCUGAAGUGAAAGCCCGCGGCUCAACUGCGGAACGGCUUUGGAAACUGAGUAACUGGAGUGCAGGAGAGGUAAGCGGAAUUCCUGGUGUAGCGGUGAAAUGCGUAGAUAUCAGGAGGAACACCAGUGGCGAAGGCGGCUUACUGGACGAUGACUGACGCUGAGGCUCGAAAGCGUGGGGAGCAAACAGG
Molecule: ribosomal RNA, 253 nt
Filed under: uncultured Lachnospiraceae bacterium
Lineage: Bacteria; Bacillati; Bacillota; Clostridia; Lachnospirales; Lachnospiraceae
Description: partial 16S ribosomal RNA
Rfam family: Bacterial small subunit ribosomal RNA
Source: RNAcentral